UACGUAGGGAGCAAGCGUUGUCCGGAAUUAUUGGGCGUAAAGAGCUCGUAGGCGGUCUGUCACGUCGGCUGUGAAAACCCGAGGCUCAACCUCGGGCCUGCAGUCGAUACGGGCAAACUAGAGUACUGCAGGGGAGACUGGAAUUCCUGGUGUAGCGGUGAAAUGCGCAGAUAUCAGGAGGAACACCGGUGGCGAAGGCGGGUCUCUGGGCCGAUAUUGACGCUGAGGAGCGAAAGCGUGGGGAGCGAACAGG
RNAcentral lists this ribosomal RNA (253 nucleotides) under uncultured bacterium. RNAcentral describes it as "partial 16S ribosomal RNA". It matches the Rfam family "Bacterial small subunit ribosomal RNA", at positions 524 to 776 of the family's 1533-position model. The record is from RNAcentral.